AUUCGUUCACCACCUUGGCUCUCUCUUUAUUUUCAUUUUUCUCGCACUCUCCUACUCCCACCCUCAUUCUCUACCACAUCUCCAUCUCAUCUCUCUCCUUUCGCCAUCACCGAAACCACCUCUGCAACCAACCUUCACCAUCGUCGGGCGCCACCAUGCACAACCCUCACAACCAGCAGCAGCACCACACGACUCUCCUUACCAUUCUCACGCCAGCAAAGUAUAGAGCAGCAGGAAGGGUCCUCAAAUCUCAACACGGGUUCUCUUGAGGUCUCCCAGCUUUGAACACAUCUCUCUCGCACUCUCCUGCUCUCGGCUCCCUCUUCUCUCCCUAAACACCAACCGCUUAACCACACAGCUUCCCUUUCAUCCACGGCACAACAUAGCCGCUCAACCGCUCAGCCAUCACCCGUUGUCUCUUCUUCCUCCUCUACCUUCCAUCUCCCAAUCCUGAAGACCAGAUCAUAUCAGAUCCGUAGCCGCCGCACCACCAACCUCUAGCUCUGUCCAAACGAGUACAGCCAUAAAAAAAAAAACAGAGCAUCCGUAGCCCCUGCUUUCCCAUCCCUGGCGAACCAACGUUGCGCCAAACACUCCUGUCACCAUUGAGUUCACCGCCCACGCCCCUCGCCAUCGCCAAAGCUAGCACCAGCGUCAUCCGUACACACAACUACUGCACUUUCUGGUCACCAGUUCCGACCAUCACUAACGCAGAUCCAACGGACCUCAAGCCCCCGUACGGCCUCUCCAUCACACCGGCGUCACGACUGCACCAGCUAUAACCACCAUUGUCUCAACCCUCCUUGGCAACCCAACUCCUCCACGGUCAUUCUUAGCUCCCACCGAUCCUCAAGUCCGAUCCGGCCCAAUAGGCUUACAGCGUCUGCAACUCCGCCUCCUUCGUCGUUGUUGCCUCUCCUACAUCCCAGCACCUUCACCAUCUCUUGCCACUUCACGGUCGUUCAAUCCAUCACCAACCGUAGCACCAACUCCGGCUCCUUGACCACCUGCAAGCUUCAAUGCUAUUAAAUCACAUGCAGCACCACCUCAUGUAAGCUUCAAGUCAACGAGGUCUCAGUUCUGACGAGCCGAACCGGGUAUACGGGACCAAUCCACCAGAGCACUUCCUUCUUCGUCGCCGCAGAUCAGACUUGCAGCAGUGUCGUCGAGGCGUGGGCCUGGAGAGGGAGACAAACCCUGUAAAAUAGUCUCGGACUGGCUUAGACCCGGUUAGAAAAGUUAAGUGCUCCACCCUGGUAAGUUGUGUUGUAUUAGGUGCCACUACACCCGUUUAAGUGAGCUGUAGUGGAAUCCUUGUGCUGGUGUAGCCAAGGCGGGGACAUAGGAAAUUUGGCCGAACCUCUAUAAUAUAUUGCGUGUAUUGUUU
Malania oleifera is the source of this 1387-nucleotide long non-coding RNA. RefSeq lists it as uncharacterized. Lineage: Eukaryota; Viridiplantae; Streptophyta; Magnoliopsida; Santalales; Ximeniaceae. The record is from RefSeq and is a predicted model, not a curated record. The transcript has 2 exons.